Molecule: long non-coding RNA, 379 nt
Organism: Triticum aestivum (bread wheat)
Lineage: Eukaryota; Viridiplantae; Streptophyta; Magnoliopsida; Poales; Poaceae
Exons: 2
Source: RefSeq, a predicted model, not a curated record
CUUCAGUCUAUGAUCUGGGCCAUUGUUGCCUUGCGUCUGGACUCUGGCGCACCUGAAGAAGCCAUUGAUCGAGACGUACUUCCUCAUCCAACGAUCGAUCGUCCCCUCAAACAAAACCCAGCGAUCGAUCGAGAUCAAUACGAGCGAAGAGACGAAGUGUCCGUUCCUCUUUUCAUCAGGCGCUGCCGGCCAUCGAUGCGGCAGGUCUUUUUCAGGAGUAAGGAACAGGAGGGCAGGACCAGGAACGAAGGCAUGAACGGCGAUCGGCAGCCGGCAACCAGUAAGAAGGAUCUGAUUCAUCUCAAGCCAAGGAAAUUUCAGGCCAUCUACGGAUCUCCGAUUUUUUAAGCGUCGUCGCUUCAAUAACCGGUGAUCCCGU